Molecule: ribosomal RNA, 254 nt
Filed under: uncultured bacterium
Lineage: Bacteria
Description: partial 16S ribosomal RNA
Rfam family: Bacterial small subunit ribosomal RNA
Source: RNAcentral
CACGUAGGCACCAAGCGUUAUCCGGAUUUAUUGGGCGUAAAGAGCUCGUAGGCGGUUCGGUAAGUCGGGUGUGAAAACUCUGGGCUCAACCCAGAGAGGCCACCCGAUACUGCUGUGACUAAAGUGCGGUAGGGGAGCGGGGAAUUCCUGGUGUAGCGGUGAAAUGCGCAGAUAUCAGGAGGAACACCAGCGGCGAAGGCGCCGCUCUGGGCCGUAACUGACGCUGAGGAGCGAAAGCAUGGGUAGCAAACAGG